RNAcentral lists this unclassified non-coding RNA (240 nucleotides) under soil metagenome. RNAcentral's name for it is "partial contains 5.8S ribosomal RNA, internal transcribed spacer 2, and large subunit ribosomal RNA". The record is from RNAcentral.
AACAAGGCGUACCUGCGGACCUGCGGAGGGAUCAUUACUGAGUGCGGGCCCGCUCCGGGCCCAACCUCCCACCCGUGUCUCUUGCGUACUUUGUUGCUUUGGCGGGCCCACUGGGUCACUCCGGUCGCCGGGGAGCGCUAUGCUCCCGGGCCCGUGCCCGCCAGAGCACCCCUGUGAACCCUGAUGAAGAGAGGCUGUCUGAGUCCCACGAUAAUCGUUAAAACUUUUAGCAACGGAUCU